This is a long non-coding RNA of Sebastes umbrosus (honeycomb rockfish), 1613 nucleotides long. RefSeq lists it as uncharacterized. The record is from RefSeq and is a predicted model, not a curated record. NCBI's taxonomy places the organism in Eukaryota, Metazoa, Chordata, Actinopteri, Perciformes, Sebastidae. The transcript is spliced from 6 exons.
CCCAAAUAAACCAAAACCUCCUCAACUGGCCCGGCAUGGGCCUUGCUGCCUCAGCACCAACUGGUCUCCUCCUCCUCCAUCUCCUCUCUCCUCCCUCCAAUGAUUGCCUAUGGAUAGAAAAGGGCAAAAGCCCUGAGCUAUUAACACCAGAGUUCGUAUCGUAACGUAAAUUCGUGAGCCUGGUGUUGAUAGCUCAGGGCUUUUGCCCUUUUCUAUAUAUAUACAUAUACAUAUAUUUUUUCUUUUCUUUUUAUUUAUUUUUUUCUUUUUAUUUUUCUUCCUUUUCCUCAUACCUCAUAUCCACAAAUAAACAAAUAAACAAAUAAACACCAGAGUUUCAGCUCUUUGCUUCUAGAUAUACUAUUUGGUCUCGCCCACUGAUUGGCCCGUUGCUAUGCCUCGCCCCCAGAACGGCCACUGUCCAAUCAUACGUUAGCAACUGUAACUAGGCAACGCAGGUCAAGGUCAGCCUUGUGAAAGGAACCAGCAAGUCCACAACAGAUAUCAUCAAAGUUUAGAGAGUGUCAUAGUAUUUUCGCUUUUCUGAAGACAAAAACACAAGAGGAGCGAUGUUGAAUAUGGAUUAAACAGUGUGGAAGACGUUACUUACAGCUGAAUCCAUCAAAGAUCAACAAAAACUCCUUUGGUGUGCUCCAAGCUGCCACUGGUUGCUCUUGAUCUGCUGCAGCUCAUCAAACUUGGCAGUGACGUCAUCGAUGGAAAGCUGCAAGAGGUCCCAGAAUCCAGCCAGGUCCUGAGAUGUGGGUCUGGGCAUGGCACUGGGGUCCUGAAGAGACAGCGGAGCACCAAAAUUUGCAAAGAUAAAGUGCUGCUAGUAUGGAGGAGAUGAGAUGGAGACGGACUGGUACCUGGAGGAGGCUGAGCGCGGUCCACACUGCAGGAAGUAGGGAGACGAAACUGAAUCCCUGCAAGGAGCAAGCGACACCAGUUAGAAACGACAAAUGCAGGCCAACGAGAAGAAAAGUUUGCAGCCUCGUUGGAAACGUCGGGGCAGUGAAGUUGGCUCAAGAACAGGACUGCGAUGGUGUUUGGUCAUACAUAACCAACACAUUCUGGGCAAAGAAAUCCAGGAGCUAAACGAAGCGUAAGACGCUGUCAAAGCCUAACAGAACCGAUAAAAAUGAUUACAUAAUGAUUAACUACUGGUGCCAUUAAAGAAGGCAGUCUGUCAGUUAUUUUGAAGCCAGAGAUUGUGCCGACAUUAGUGGCCUUAAGAAGAUCGAUGGAAAGCUGUUUGGCCACAUUGUCAAGACGAAAAUCCCCUUGUUGCCCAUCGAGGAGCCUGUUUGAGGAGCAAUCCCUCCCACCCUGCUGGAUGCUGUUACACACACAUACAUACUGUAUGGACACGCACACACACACACACACACCUGCAUGGAUCGCUGUGAUUUGAGGGGGAUGAGAGGUGCUUUUCCUCCAAAACUGAAGGCAUGUAUUUUGUCAUAUCCGACAAAGAUCUGUUUUAUUUUCUACCCAUUGCGUUGAAUACUAAUCACCUAAUCUGCUGUGCCAACUUCUCAUCUACCUGUUAAAUUCACACACACACACACACACACAAGGAUGUAACAGUUCCAUAGAAAAUGAAAGCCCCC